Molecule: small nuclear RNA, 104 nt
Organism: Zalophus californianus (California sea lion)
Lineage: Eukaryota; Metazoa; Chordata; Mammalia; Carnivora; Otariidae
Source: Ensembl
GUGCUUGCUUUACUAGCACAUAUACUAAAAUUGAAACGAUGUAGAGAAUACCAUGGCCCCUAUAUAAGGAUGACAUGAAAAUCCAUAAAGUCUUCUAUAUUUUU